UAAUACGUGAGCCCCAAGCGUUAUCCGGAAUUAUUGGGCGUAAAGGGUCCGUAGGGGGUCCUGUUAGUCUUGUGUUAAAUAUCUGGGCUCAACCCAGAUGCUGCGCAGGAAACGGCAGGACUAGAGGGCGUGAGAGGUCAUUAGAACUCAUGGUGUAGGGGUGAAAUCCGUUGAUAUCAUGGGGAAUACCAAAGGCGAAGGCAUAUGACUGGUGCGACCCUGACCCUCAGGGACGAAAGCGUGGGUAGCGAACGGGAUUAGAUACCCCGGUAGUCCACGCCGUAAACGUUGAACACUAGCUGUCUGAAGUGUCGACCCUUCAGGUGGCGUAGCUAACGCGUUAAGUGUCCCGCCUGGGAAGUACGGCCGCAAGGCUA
Molecule: ribosomal RNA, 377 nt
Filed under: uncultured bacterium
Lineage: Bacteria
Description: bacterial SSU rRNA
Rfam family: Bacterial small subunit ribosomal RNA
Source: RNAcentral